AAGUCGUAACAAGGUUUCCGUAGGUGAACCUGCGGAAGGAUCAUUAUCAUACGUAUACACGUAUAAACCAAUGUCGAACUCGUACAAGUCCGUUAGGUCUGGGUAUGGCUGCUCUGAGGUUGGAAUCAUUCAACAAAUAUAACUUUUGUUUGAGGUGAUCAAAGUACCUCAUUGCAGCUUUACAGAUACCGGUAUCUCUGAUUUCUGUAGCCCUCUCCUAGCACGCGUAUUUCCAUUCAAACUUUGAACAUCACCCAAUCUUAUAUCUGAACUAAACACGAUCCGCUUCGAAAGGAGCAUUGAUCGACAAUAUACGAAACUUAAGAACAACUCUUAACAACGGAUAUCUUGGCUCUC
RNAcentral lists this unclassified non-coding RNA (357 nucleotides) under fungal sp. RNAcentral describes it as "partial internal transcribed spacer region". The stretch from base 1 to 46 matches the Rfam family "Eukaryotic small subunit ribosomal RNA", at positions 1786 to 1831 of the family's 1831-position model. Lineage: Eukaryota; Fungi. The record is from RNAcentral.